UCUACUGUGGCAGAAUUAUAAUGCAAUGAACUUAAAAUUCAUUUAUAAAUAUAAAUAUUUCUUUAGAA
This 68-nucleotide transfer RNA is filed under the name Aconophora n. sp. CPL-2004. RNAcentral describes it as "tRNA-Leu". It matches the Rfam family "tRNA". From Rfam's summary of the family: Transfer RNA (tRNA) molecules are approximately 80 nucleotides in length. Lineage: Eukaryota; Metazoa; Arthropoda; Insecta; Hemiptera; Membracidae. The record is from RNAcentral.